This 253-nucleotide ribosomal RNA is filed under the name uncultured bacterium. Its description in RNAcentral is "partial 16S ribosomal RNA". It matches the Rfam family "Bacterial small subunit ribosomal RNA", at positions 524 to 776 of the family's 1533-position model. The record is from RNAcentral.
UACGUAGGGUGCGAGCGUUGUCCGGAAUUAUUGGGCGUAAAGGGCUCGUAGGCGGUUUGUCACGUCGGGAGUGAAAACUCAGGGCUCAACCCUGAGCCUGCUUCCGAUACGGGCAGACUAGAGGUAUGCAGGGGAGAACGGAAUUCCUGGUGUAGCGGUGAAAUGCGCAGAUAUCAGGAGGAACACCGGUGGCGAAGGCGGUUCUCUGGGAAUGACCUGACGCUGAGGAGCGAAAGUGUGGGGAGCGAACAGG